This 435-nucleotide long non-coding RNA is filed under the name Homo sapiens (human). Its description in RNAcentral is "HSALNT0201372". Lineage: Eukaryota; Metazoa; Chordata; Mammalia; Primates; Hominidae. The record is from RNAcentral.
CCCACGUCACGCCCCGCGUUGGUCUCUCCCGAGACCAUCUCUUUCACACACUUUCACACACCUCCCCCGUCCCCGAAACGGUUUGCCUUUCUGACUGACUCAUGAGCCCCACCCAUGUCGGGUGUCAGGGUGUGAGUUUUGUCCGAAUCAAUGGGCCUCUCCCAUUGUCCCAACCCCCUUGGGUUGGACUAGUCAUCAUGCCCUGGGAGGUGAUCAGAGUCCCCUUCCGUCCUUAUGGGACGGGUCUUGCCUUAGGGCCCAAACCUUACCAUGGUUCAUAUGUCUGAGUGCUGCUCCUGUGACUGUCCUGCAACUCCUUUUACCAGUUCCAUUUCUGCUGUCAGGGAGGGCUCCGGAACACGGAAGAGCCACCCGGUGUUCAGCAAACAAAGAAGCCUCCAGGUACCAGAAUCUACCCUUCUUAGAAGGCAGCAG